GACGAACGCUGGCGGCAUGCUUUACACAUGCAAGUCGGACGAGUGGCGCACGGGUGAGUAAUAUAUCGGAACGUACCGAGUAAUGGGGGAUAACUAAUCGAAAGAUUAGCUAAUACCGCAUAUUAUUCGAGCCGCCGAUAUCUGAUUAGCUAGUUGGUGGGGUAAAGGCCUACCAAGGCGACGAUCAGUAGCGGGUCUGAGAGGAUGAUCCGCCACACUGGGACGGAGACAGGGCCCAGACGCCUACGGGAGGAAGCAGUGGGGAAUGUUGGACAAUGGGCGCAAGCCUGAUCCAGCCAUGCCGCGUGGCUGAAGAAGGCCUUCGGGUUGUAAAGGACUUUUGUCAGGGAAGCGGUACCUGAAGAAUAAGCACCGGCUAACUACGUGCCAGCAGCCGCGGUAAUAC
This 406-nucleotide ribosomal RNA is filed under the name uncultured bacterium. Its description in RNAcentral is "partial 16S ribosomal RNA". It matches the Rfam family "Bacterial small subunit ribosomal RNA", at positions 28 to 526 of the family's 1533-position model. The record is from RNAcentral.